This 30-nucleotide non-coding RNA is filed under the name Rattus norvegicus (Norway rat). Lineage: Eukaryota; Metazoa; Chordata; Mammalia; Rodentia; Muridae. The record is from RNAcentral.
UACAGGAGAGAAUAAUAAGUUAUUCACUUA